This 418-nucleotide ribosomal RNA is filed under the name uncultured bacterium. RNAcentral's name for it is "partial 16S ribosomal RNA". It matches the Rfam family "Bacterial small subunit ribosomal RNA", at positions 360 to 775 of the family's 1533-position model. The record is from RNAcentral.
AAUAUUGGUCAAUGGAGGCAACUCUGAACCAGCCAUGCCGCGUGCAGGAUGACGGUCCUAUGGAUUGUAAACUGCUUUUGUACAGGAAUAAAAAGAGUUACGUGUAGCCUAUUGACGGUACAGCAAGAAUUAGUAUCGGUUACCACCGUUCAAGCAUCCGCGGAAAUCGGGAUGAUCCAAGCGUUAUCCGGAAUCAUUGGGUUUAAAGUGUCCGUAGGCUGCCUUAUAAGUCAGCGGUGAAAGUUUUUGGCUUAACCAAAAAAUUGCCGUUGAUACUGUAGGGCUUGAAUUUUUGUGAAGUAACUAGAAUAUGUAGUGUAGCGGUGAAAUGCUUAGAUAUUACAUGGAAUACCAAUUGCGAAGGCAGGUUACUAACAAACGAUUGACGCUGAUGGACGAAAGCGUGGGUAGCGAACAG